AAAGGGGUGAACAACACUUAAGGUGUACGUGAUAGGGUUGAUAAACAGGGACCAAGAGGGUAGUAUUAGUAAAAACCUUUUAUCAGGGGUAGACUGAGUAAUGGGGUAAUAAAGUGACAUUAAAUUAUAUUAACAUCCAAGGUGUGUGUAGGAAAAUAAAUCUGACUGGACCAAUAUGGAACCAAGCAUUGUAGAAGGUAUAUGUGGUAAUAAACAUCAUAAGGAAAAAUUAAUACAUAAAUGAAUAGGAAAUUAUGAUGACCCCAUACCCGACCCUCGGCCCUCUAUGCACACUAUCGGACAUGUUGUGGUUUUGCAGAUUAUUACUUACCCUUCCGCUCCUGAUGAGUGGCGUUAGCCACGAAACGCGUAGAGCUACCAGAUAUCGAUUCUACCUAGAAUACCAUUUCUACAUAUACUAAGCAUACUGGAAUAUACCAAUGAACUACAAGUUUACAAAAAUACCCCCCUUUUUUACCUGGAGACCCAUGCCGAUUGACCUGGUUCGAAUACUGUCUGCAAUACGAAUCCAUAUGUUACGAUGCUACGCUUUUAUUACUAUGUUAUCAAGUUGUUUGAAAUUUAUCAUAUAUUUGAUUACUGGCUACGCAUCUGAUUACUAUGUAACUUAUGUGGCCCAAUGUAACCAUGUAUGACCUACCAGAUAUCACCUGUCAUGUUUUUUCUCCCUGAGCUUAUUAUUUUUUGCUCACCUAAUAUUAUUGUACCAUCUUACUAUUAUUGGGACCAUUGGUGUUUACCAAUGAAUCCCAAUUUUAUAAAGUUUUUUCUAAAAUGGAGUGACACGUCAGUUAGUCUGGAUAUUAAUAAUACUUUUACCUACAUUAUGAACCUUUAUGUUGCCAAGCCAUAUCAAUUAUAUGCUAUUAUUAUACCUAUAAUGUACUAUAUUUUACUGUAAUUAUUGUGCUGACAUGCUAUCUGUGUUGUUCUUGGUGUCAAUGAGCCCACAUGGUACCAUGUUACGUCAUUAUUAUGCUAUUCACUUAUGUGCAAUAAAUUGUAUUAUUGAUUUUUUA
Rana temporaria (common frog) is the source of this 1040-nucleotide long non-coding RNA. RefSeq lists it as uncharacterized. NCBI's taxonomy places the organism in Eukaryota, Metazoa, Chordata, Amphibia, Anura, Ranidae. The transcript is spliced from 2 exons. The record is from RefSeq and is a predicted model, not a curated record.